AUGUGCAAUUUGGCCACACCACGGGAAAUUUUGAAAAAUGAGAAAUGAAGCCGGAUCCAACAGUGUUAUAGUGUCCGUUAAGCCAAGAAAAAAAAAAAAAAAAAAAUGUAUCUCUCUCUCCAGUCGUGGAAAGCCAAGUAAUCGACGUAGAAGAAGGAAAGAAGAUGCGAGACAUGUUCGGAUCGGUUCGGCGUUCUUUCUCUCUCCGCUCGAAUCCCGCAGGAAAUGAUGGCGGCAGCCCUGGUAGCCGCAUUGUGGAAAGGAUCAGAGCGUUUGAGGUAAUCGAAGAUGGGGUUGGGCCUAGGGUUAGGUUUUUCACCCAAAGUCUCUGCAUCCCCCAGUGCUCUUUUUCCGGAGGAGACCAACGAUGAUGCCUCUCCGAUUUGGUGGAGAAAGCCAAGUAAUCCACGUAGAAUAAGGAAAGAAGAUGCGAGAUCUAUUCGGAUCGGUUCGGCGUUCUUUCUCUCUCCGUUCGAAUCCCGCAGGAAACGAUGGCGGCGGCCCUGGCAGCCGCAUUAUGGAAAGGAUGAGAUCGCGUUUGAGGAAAUCGAAGAUGUGGUUGGGCCUAUGGUUAGGUUUAUCACCCAAAUUCUCUGUAUCCCCCAAUGCUCUUUCUUCGUAGGAGACCAACGAUGAUGCCUCUCUGAUCCGGUGUAGAAAGGGCGAGCUAAUUGGCUGCGGCGCCUUUGGCCACGUCUACAUGGGGAUGAAUCUAGAUUCUGAGGAGCUUCUCGCUGUAAAGCAGGUUUUGCUUGGGACUAGCAAUGCCUCCAAGGAGAAGGUCCAAGUUAGAUUCUUUCCUUCCUUUUUCUUCAAAAAUGAAAUAUAACCCUGGUGUUGGUCUUUCCUGAACUGCCUUUCAGCUCGUCUUCCGCCUUAACAUCUUUACUUAUGUUUGCAAGCUCAUAUAAGGGAAUUUGAAGAAGAGGUGAAGCUUCUCAAGAACCUAUCACAUAUGAAUAUUGUCGUUAUAAAAAUGUAUAUCAAGCAGCUAUUGCAUGGACUGGAAUAUCAUCAUAAGGUGCAAAUAUUCUUGUUGAUAAUAAAGGAUGCA
Molecule: long non-coding RNA, 1054 nt
Organism: Dendrobium catenatum
Lineage: Eukaryota; Viridiplantae; Streptophyta; Magnoliopsida; Asparagales; Orchidaceae
Exons: 4
Source: RefSeq, a predicted model, not a curated record